This 267-nucleotide ribosomal RNA is filed under the name uncultured bacterium. Its description in RNAcentral is "partial 16S ribosomal RNA". It matches the Rfam family "Bacterial small subunit ribosomal RNA", at positions 524 to 784 of the family's 1533-position model. The record is from RNAcentral.
UACAGAGGGUGCAAGCGUUAAUCGGAUUUACUGGGCGUAAAGCGUGCGUAGGUGGCCAAUUAAGUCAAAUGUGAAAAUCCCCCGAGCUUAACUUAGGGUAAGUUAGCAUUCGAUACUGGUUGGCUAGAGUAUGGGAGAGGAUGGUAGAAUUCCAGGUGUAGCGGUGAAAUGCGUAGAGAUCUGGAGGAAUACCGAUGGCGAAGGCAGCCAUCUGGCCUAAUACUGACACUGAGGUACGAAAGCAUGGGGAGCAAACAGGAUUAGAAA